Molecule: transfer RNA, 72 nt
Filed under: Aedes aegypti (yellow fever mosquito)
Lineage: Eukaryota; Metazoa; Arthropoda; Insecta; Diptera; Culicidae
Rfam family: tRNA
About the family: Transfer RNA (tRNA) molecules are approximately 80 nucleotides in length. Their secondary structure includes four short double-helical elements and three loops (D, anti-codon, and T loops).
Source: Rfam by way of RNAcentral
UACUCGGUAGCUUAGUUGAUAAAGCACUCGUCUUGCAUACAAGACUCGUGGGUUUGAAUCCCAUCCGAGCAC